Molecule: ribosomal RNA, 777 nt
Filed under: uncultured eukaryote
Lineage: Eukaryota
Description: SSU rRNA
Rfam family: Eukaryotic small subunit ribosomal RNA
Source: RNAcentral
GACGGAUGCCACCAGCGAUCCGCCUGAGUUCCUUAAAUGACUCGGCGGGCAGCUUCCGGGAAACCAAAGUUUUUCGGUUCCGGGGGAAGUAUGGUUGCAAAGCUGAAACUUAAAGGAAUUGACGGAAGGGCACCACCAGGAGUGGAGCCUGCGGCUUAAUUUGACUCAACACGGGAAAACUUACCCGGCCCGGACACUGGCAGGAUUGACAGAUUGAGAGCUCUUUCUUGAUUCAGUGGGUGGUGGUGCAUGGCCGUUCUUAGUUGGUGGAGCGAUUUGUCUGGUUAAUUCCGAUAACGAACGAGACUCUAGCCUACUAAAUAGGCCACCGGCUUACUGACGUCGGUGGGACUUCUUAGAGGGACAGGCGGCGAUUCAGCCGCACGAAACAGAGCAAUAACAGGUCUGUGAUGCCCUUAGAUGUCCGGGGCCGCACGCGCGCUACACUGAAGUGAUCAGCGUGCAUUACAAACCUGCUCCGUCAGGAGUGGGGAACCCAAUGAACCUUCUUCGUGAUUGGGAUAGGGGAUUGUAAUUAUUCCCCUUGAACGAGGAAUUCCCAGUAAGCGCGAGUCAUAAGCUCGCGUUGAUUACGUCCCUGCCCUUUGUACACACCGCCCGUCGCUACUACCGAUUGAAUGAUUUAGUGAGGUCUUCGGACUGGCCGGCGCAGCUGUCUUCGGGCGGCCGCGCUGUGUUUGGAAAGAUGCCCAAACUUGAUCAUUUAGAGGAAGUAAAAGUCGUAACAAGGUUUCCGUAGUGAACCUGCGGAAGGAU